UUUUUUUUUUUUUUAAUUUGGCUAAUGGACAAAAAUUGUUUUAUUCAAAUCUAAAUAAAAUGUUAUUAUCUCCCUAUUACUUACAUUGUACAUAGAAUGGAUGCUACUUUGUAAUUCCUUGUACAUGAGAGAUGUCUGUCAAAUCUUUAUUUCCAAAUGAAUGAAUUGCAUAACAAUGAACUGAGCUCAAAGCAAAGCACUUUCAUAAUACACUUAGACAAAGAGCUCAAUCCAGUGAUAUACUUUGUACUAAUUACAGGUCCUUCACGAACAUCGACCAAACCCAUAUCUCAAUAACAUGCCAUACUACAUGGUUGGAUCAGAAGAC
This 328-nucleotide long non-coding RNA is filed under the name Mytilus galloprovincialis (Mediterranean mussel). The record is from RNAcentral. Lineage: Eukaryota; Metazoa; Mollusca; Bivalvia; Mytilida; Mytilidae.